This 468-nucleotide ribosomal RNA is filed under the name uncultured bacterium. Its description in RNAcentral is "partial 16S ribosomal RNA". It matches the Rfam family "Bacterial small subunit ribosomal RNA", at positions 28 to 507 of the family's 1533-position model. The record is from RNAcentral.
GACGAACGCUGGCGGCGUGCUUAACACAUGCAAGUCGAACGGAAAGGCCCUGCGUGUGUGGGGUGCACGAGUGGCGAACGGGGGAGUAACACGUGAGGAACCUGGCCAUGACAUUGGGAUAACGUCAGGAAACUGGGGCUAAUACCGGAUAGGAGAGCCUGCUGCAUGGUGGGGGUUGGAAAGUUUCGGCGGUUGGGGAUGGACGCGCGGCUUAUCAGCUUGUUGGUGGGGUAGUGGCUUACCAAGGCUUUGACGGGUAGCCGGCCUGAGAGGGUGAACGGCCACAUUGGGACUGAGAUACGGCCGAGACUGCUACGGGCGGCAGCAGGGGGGAAUAUAGCACAAUGGGCGGAAGCCUGAUGCAGCGACGCCGCGUGCGUGAUGACGGCCUUCGGGUGGGAAACCGCUUUCUCCUGCUACGAAGCGUAACUGACGGUAACGGGUAAAGAAGCACCGGCUAACUACGUG